GAUGAACGCUGGCGGCGUGCUUAACACAUGCAAGUCGAACGGGAAACCUUUUAUUGAAGCUUCGGCAGAUUUAGCUGGUUUCUAGUGGCGGACGGGUGAGUAACGCGUGGGUAACCUGCCUUGUACAGGGGGAUAACAGUCAGAAAUGACUGCUAAUACCGCAUAAGCGCACAGGACCGCAUGGUCCGGUGUGAAAAACUCCGGUGGUAUAAGAUGGACCCGCGUUGGAUUAGCUUGUUGGUGGGGUAACGGCCCACCAAGGCGACGAUCCAUAGCCGGCCUGAGAGGGUGAACGGCCACAUUGGGACUGAGACACGGCCCAGACUCCUACGGGAGGCAGCAGUGGGGAAUAUUGCACAAUGGGGGAAACCCUGAUGCAGCGACGCCGCGUGAAGGAAGAAGUAUCUCGGUAUGUAAACUUCUAUCAGCAGGGAAGA
This 437-nucleotide ribosomal RNA is filed under the name uncultured bacterium. RNAcentral's name for it is "bacterial SSU rRNA". It matches the Rfam family "Bacterial small subunit ribosomal RNA", at positions 28 to 448 of the family's 1533-position model. The record is from RNAcentral.